RNAcentral lists this long non-coding RNA (425 nucleotides) under Junco hyemalis (dark-eyed junco). RNAcentral describes it as "lncRNA (ENSJHYG00000003850.1)". Lineage: Eukaryota; Metazoa; Chordata; Aves; Passeriformes; Passerellidae. The record is from RNAcentral.
CAAACUGCAGCUACACAAAAGAACAGUUUGUUCUGCUUCCAAUAUGACAAUAUUUACCUGCCAUGGACAGCAGAACGUGGCAGAUGAAAAUGAUGGAAGCAAGGCUCAUUAGGAUUCCAUGUCCUUUGAAUGGUACAGCUGGAAAGAAGGAGAGAGACAGAGAUUCUCCUUUGUUUUGAACUUUCAGUUGGACCAAAGACUUGUGCUUCAGAAAAGCAAUGCUGCUCUCCCAAAGGCCAUCCUUCACUUCUGUUCUGCCUCGUUGCCUCGCCUCCCCACAUGAGAGAAAACCCCCAACCAUAUCGUCUCCCUCGAGCUCUAAGAAAACAGGUAAUGAUGCAUGGAUGUGCAAUGAAAUUUCAAAAAUGUGCACUGACUUUUUAGAAAUAUGCCAACUGUCAAAUAAAAAAUAAAAUUAAAAAUCA